UACGUAGGGGCAAGCGUUAUCCGGAUUUACUGGGUGUAAAGGGAGCGUAGACGGUAUGGUAAGUCAGAUGUGAAAGCCCGGGGCUCAACCCCGGGACUGCAUUUGAAACUAUCAAACUGGAGUGCAGGAGAGGUAAGUGGAAUUCCUAGUGUAGCGGUGAAAUGCGUAGAUAUUAGGAGGAACACCAGUGGCGAAGGCGGCUUACUGGACUGUAACUGACGUUGAGGCUCGAAAGCGUGGGGAGCAAACAGGAUUAGAUACCCCGGUAGUCCCUGAGCGGG
This 281-nucleotide ribosomal RNA is filed under the name uncultured prokaryote. RNAcentral's name for it is "partial 16S ribosomal RNA". It matches the Rfam family "Bacterial small subunit ribosomal RNA", at positions 524 to 803 of the family's 1533-position model. The record is from RNAcentral.